This 460-nucleotide ribosomal RNA is filed under the name uncultured bacterium. Its description in RNAcentral is "partial 16S ribosomal RNA". It matches the Rfam family "Bacterial small subunit ribosomal RNA", at positions 338 to 795 of the family's 1533-position model. The record is from RNAcentral.
CCUACGGGUGGCUGCAGUGAGGAAUAUUGGUCAAUGGGCGCAAGCCUGAACCAGCCAAGUCGCGUGAGGGAUGACGGUCCUAUGGAUUGUAAACCUCUUUUGUCGGGGAGCAAGGCCCGCCACGUGUGGCGGGAAGGAGAGUACCCGAAGAAAAAGCAUCGGCUAACUCCGUGCCAGCAGCCGCGGUAAUACGGAGGAUGCGAGCGUUAUCCGGAUUUAUUGGGUUUAAAGGGUGCGUAGGCGGAAGGUUAAGUCAGCGGUCAAAUGUCGGUGCUCAACACCGGCCUGCCGUUGAAACUGGUCUUCUUGAGUGAGCGAGAAGUAUGCGGAAUGCGUGGUGUAGCGGUGAAAUGCAUAGAUAUCGGGAGGAACACCAGUGGCGAAGGCGGCCUGCUGGGCUCUAACUGACGCUGAGGCACGAAAGCGUGGGUAGCAAACAGGAUUAGAUACCCUUGUAGUC